Molecule: ribosomal RNA, 497 nt
Filed under: uncultured bacterium
Lineage: Bacteria
Description: partial 16S ribosomal RNA
Rfam family: Bacterial small subunit ribosomal RNA
Source: RNAcentral
GAUGAGCGCUGGCGGCGUGCCUAAUACAUGCAAGUCGAGCGAACAGACGAGGAGCUUGCUCCUCUGACGUUAGCGGCGGACGGGUGAGUAACACGUGGAUAACCUACCUAUAAGACUGGGAUAACUUCGGGAAACCGGAGCUAAUACCGGAUAAUAUAUUGAACCGCAUGGUUCAAUAGUGAAAGACGGUUUUGCUGUCACUUAUAGAUGGAUCCGCGCCGCAUUAGCUAGUUGGUAAGGUAACGGCUUACCAAGGCAACGAUGCGUAGCCGACCUGAGAGGGUGAUCGGCCACACUGGAACUGAGACACGGUCCAGACUCCUACGGGAGGCAGCAGUAGGGAAUCUUCCGCAAUGGGCGAAAGCUUGACGGAGCAACGCCGCGUGAGUGAUGAAGGUCUUCGGAUCGUAAAACUCUGUCAUUAGGGAAGAACAAAUGUGUAAGUAACUAUGCACGUCUUGACGGUACCUAAUCAGAAAGCCACGGCUAACUACGUG